GACAACGGCAACAAUAAUCACGACGACUUCUACGACAGCAGGAGACAUGCAUGCAUACGCGUAGCCUAAGUGCGUAUUUUUUGUCAAUUUGAUCAACCCGACCAUCUUUGUGAUAGGUUUCGAACCGAUCGAAUUUGACAUUAAAUCGCAGCUUCCGUCGCGCGUAUGCAUCACUAAUCCCUAAACCGUACUUUUUUUUUUGUCUAUUUGAUCAACCCGACCAUCUUCGUGAUAGGUUUCGAACCGAUCAAAUUUGACAUUAAAUCGUAGCUUCCGUCGUAUGCAUCGCUAAUCUCUAACCGUGCGGCCAUCUUCGUGAUAGGCUCGACAUGGUCAAAAUGACUGAUCGAAUCGGAUGUUUCAUUACGUAAACCGUGCGGCCAUCUUUGUGAUAGGCUCGACAUGGUUAAAAUGGGUGAUCGAGCAUCAUUAAUGUUGUUACGAAAACUGUGCGGCCAUCUUCGUGAUAGGCUCGACAUAGUUGAAAGCGUAAACCGUGCGGCCAUCUUCGUGAUAGGCUCGACAUGGUCGAAAAGAUUAAUCGAGCGGCCA
RNAcentral lists this long non-coding RNA (552 nucleotides) under Ananas comosus (pineapple). Its description in RNAcentral is "long non-coding RNA (ACOM_LNC012255)". The record is from RNAcentral. Lineage: Eukaryota; Viridiplantae; Streptophyta; Magnoliopsida; Poales; Bromeliaceae.